RNAcentral lists this ribosomal RNA (301 nucleotides) under uncultured bacterium. RNAcentral describes it as "partial 16S ribosomal RNA". It matches the Rfam family "Bacterial small subunit ribosomal RNA", at positions 509 to 807 of the family's 1533-position model. The record is from RNAcentral.
CAGUAGCCGCGGGAAUACGUAGGGAGCAAGCGUUGUUCGGAUUUACUGGGCGUAAAGGGCGCGUAGGCGGCGCGGCAAGUCACUUGUGAAAUCUCUGAGCUUAACUCAGAACGGCCAAGUGAUACUGCUGUGCUAGAGUGCGGAAGAGGCAACCGGAAUUCUUGGUGUAGCGGUGAAAUGCGUAGAUAUCAAGAGGAACACCUGAGGCGAAGGCGGGUUGCUGGGCCGACACUGACGCUGAUGCGCGAAAGCCAGGGGAGCAAACGGGAUUAGAGACCCCAGUAGUCCCUGUCUCUUAUAC